AAUUCGAUUGAGUUUGAUCAUGGCUCAGAGCGAACGCUGGCGGCAGGCCUAAUACAUGCAAGUCGAACGGACCCUUCGGGGUUAGUGGCGGACGGGUGAGUAACACGUGGGAACGUGCCCUUUGGUUCGGAACAACUCAGGGAAACUUGAGCUAAUACCGGAUGUGCCCUUCGGGGGAAAGAUUUAUCGCCAUUGGAGCGGCCCGCGUCUGAUUAGCUAGUUGGUGGGGUAAAGGCCUACCAAGGCGACGAUCAGUAGCUGGUCUGAGAGGAUGAUCAGCCACACUGGGACUGAGACACGGCCCAGACUCCUACGGGAGGCAGCAGUAGGGAAUCUUGCGCAAUGGGCGAAAGCCUGACGCAGCCAUGCCGCGUGAAUGAUGAAGGUCUUAGGAUUGUAAAAUUCUUUCAGCGGGGACGAUAAUGACGGUACCCGCAGAAGAAGCCCCGGCUAACUUCGUGCCAGCAGCCGCGGUAAUACGAAGGGGGCUAGCGUUGCUCGGAAUUACUGGGCGUAAAGGGCGCGUAGACGGAUGUUUAAGUCAGAGGUGAAAGCCCAGGGCUCAACCUUGGAACUGCCUUUGAUACUGGACAUCUUGAGUACGGGAGAGAUGAGUGGAACUCCGAGUGUAGAGGUGAAAUUCGUAGAUAUUCGGAAGAACACCAGUGGCGAAGGCGACUCACUGGCCCGUUACUGACGCUGAGGCGCGAAAGCGUGGGGGAGCAAACAGGAUUAGAUACCCUGGUAGUCCACGCUG
RNAcentral lists this ribosomal RNA (757 nucleotides) under uncultured bacterium. RNAcentral's name for it is "bacterial SSU rRNA". It matches the Rfam family "Bacterial small subunit ribosomal RNA", at positions 1 to 802 of the family's 1533-position model. The record is from RNAcentral.